CCGCCCGUCACACCAUGGGAGUUGGUAAUACCCAAAGACGGUUUAGUUAACCUCGGAGACGGCUGUCUAAGGUAGGAUCGAUGACUGGGGUGAAGUCGUAACAAGGUAUCCCUACGAGAACGUGGGGAUGGAUCACCUCCUUU
This 143-nucleotide ribosomal RNA is filed under the name Mesomycoplasma moatsii. RNAcentral's name for it is "Mycoplasma moatsii partial 16S ribosomal RNA". It matches the Rfam family "Bacterial small subunit ribosomal RNA", at positions 1390 to 1533 of the family's 1533-position model. The record is from RNAcentral. Lineage: Bacteria; Bacillati; Mycoplasmatota; Mycoplasmoidales; Metamycoplasmataceae.